GAUGAACGCUGGCGGCGUGCUUAACACAUGCAAGUCGAACGGAAAGGCUCCUGCUUGCAGGGGUAUUCGAGUGGCGAACGGGUGAGUAACACGUGGGUGAUCUGCCCUGCACUUCGGGAUAAGCCUGGGAAACUGGGUCUAAUACCGGAUAGGACCACAUUUUGGAUGGUGUGGUGGAAAGUUUUUCGGUGUGGGAUGAGCUCGCGGCCUAUCAGCUUGUUGGUGGGGUAAUGGCCUACCAAGGCGUCGACGGGUAGCCGGCCUGAGAGGGUGUACGGCCACAUUGGGACUGAGAUACGGCCCAGACUCCUACGGGAGGCAGCAGUGGGGAAUAUUGCACAAUGGGCGCAAGCCUGAUGCAGCGACGCCGCGUGGGGGAUGACGGCCUUCGGGUUGUAAACUCCUUUCGCUAGGGACGAAGCGUUUUUGUGACGGUACCUGGAGAAGAAGCACCGGCUAACUACGUG
This 467-nucleotide ribosomal RNA is filed under the name uncultured bacterium. RNAcentral describes it as "partial 16S ribosomal RNA". It matches the Rfam family "Bacterial small subunit ribosomal RNA", at positions 28 to 507 of the family's 1533-position model. The record is from RNAcentral.